AGGCAACUGCAUGGAACAGAAGUAAAUUAGGGUACACCAUGUUGCUGAGGUGUGAUGUCAGAUGAGACCACAUGAGGAUGGCCUUGGUUUGGGACUGUGUUCCUGAAAGACACAAUGAUAAAUUACUCGUUUGUAUAUAAAUAAAGGCAGCGGAUUCUGGAUGGAAGAA
Gorilla gorilla gorilla (western lowland gorilla) is the source of this 169-nucleotide long non-coding RNA. RefSeq lists it as uncharacterized. The transcript is spliced from 2 exons. The record is from RefSeq and is a predicted model, not a curated record. NCBI's taxonomy places the organism in Eukaryota, Metazoa, Chordata, Mammalia, Primates, Hominidae.